CGGGACCAGUUUGCCAAGCUGGUGCGGGAGGUGGCAGCCCCUGAUGUUGGCCGCAUGGGCAUUGAGAUCCUCAGCUUCACCAUCAAGGACCCAAGCGUCUUGGCAGGGGUGCUGUGAAUGUCCAGUGGUCCCAGCUCCCCACCCUGGCCCUGCCCCAGCCUGUGUAGCUCUUCCUGCAUGUGGAUGCUGCAUGUCUGGUCUGGGGCUUGGAUGUUGCACUGCCCCACUGCCUGUCCCUUCUGGUAAAAUAAAGAACUCUUAAUGCC
This 266-nucleotide long non-coding RNA is filed under the name Homo sapiens (human). RNAcentral's name for it is "non-protein coding lnc-DHRS13-2:4". Lineage: Eukaryota; Metazoa; Chordata; Mammalia; Primates; Hominidae. The record is from RNAcentral.